CCUACGGGUGUCAGCAGUAGGGAAUAUUGCUCAAUGGUGGAAACCCUGACGCAGCAACGCCGCGUGGAGGAUGAAGGUUUUCGGAUUGUAAACUCCUUUUGUUAGAGAAGAUAAUGACGGUAUCUAACGACUACGCACCGGCUAACUCCGUGCCAGCCGCCGCGGUCAUACGGAGGGUGCAAGCGUUACUCGGAAUCACUGGGCGUAAAGAGCUCGUAGGCGGUAUGUCAAGUCAAGGGGGAAAUCCCCGCGCUCAACGUGGGAACUGCCUUUGAAACUGGCAAACUGGAGUGUGUGAGAGGAUAGUGGAAUUCCAGGUGUAGGAGUGAAAUCCGUAGAUAUCUGGAGGAACAUCAGUGGCGAAGGCGACUAUCUGGCACAUAACUGACGCUGAGGAGCGAAAGCGUGGGUAGCAAACAGGAUUAGAUACCCCAGUAGUC
RNAcentral lists this ribosomal RNA (440 nucleotides) under uncultured bacterium. RNAcentral's name for it is "partial 16S ribosomal RNA". It matches the Rfam family "Bacterial small subunit ribosomal RNA", at positions 338 to 795 of the family's 1533-position model. The record is from RNAcentral.